CUACAUUCACUAGGAUGCUCCGCGUCAGCUCUGACUGAGUCUCACAAUUAAAAAACCAAAACAAGAACCUGACUACUGGGUAUUUUGCGAUUCACAGAUGAAACCCCCUUACGGGAUAUGUUCCACUAUGGUCUAUGCAGGCUCUCCCCCGAGUAUAACUGUAGCGAGGAACUAUGUAGCCCCAUCAAUGUUAAAAUUCCUCGGUAGCUCACCUCAUCCCCGGUUCUAACUGUCAAUAUUAGAACAUCUCCAGCUGCCUUCUUGCCCUUCAACUCCGUUCCGUGGUGGUAAAAUCACUGAGGAACAUCUGAGGGAUUCACUUCAUCCAACUGGGACUUGAUGAAAGACGCCACAUUUGUUCCAUCUGAACCACUCUGAGGCCUGCUGUUUGUCACAGAGAACGCAGACUUCAGACGCAGUCAGGAGUUGUGGUAUUGUGUGACACUUGGGGACUAUGAGGUUCCGAUGACGUCCUAGGAAACGGGCCUUUCUCACCUCAAAGAGCUUCUUCACUGGGCUGCAGAGAAGGUUCAGGGAUAAAGAGCAUUUGCUGAUCUUCCAGAAGACCUGAGUUUGGAUCCUAGCACCCACCUAGGGGGACCCUUAACUGCUUACCACUCCAGCACUAGGGGGUCCAAUGCCCUGUCUGACCUCCUUGGACAAACAUGUGGUACA
Peromyscus maniculatus bairdii (prairie deer mouse) is the source of this 675-nucleotide non-coding RNA. The record is from RefSeq and is a predicted model, not a curated record. Lineage: Eukaryota; Metazoa; Chordata; Mammalia; Rodentia; Cricetidae.